GGGAUUGCCUCAGUAACGGCGAGCGAAGCGGCAAGUGCUCAGAUUUGAAUCUGGCUCCUCUGGGGCCCGAGUUGUAAUCUGUAGGGGAUGCUUCGGAGUCGAACCCGGCCUAAGUUCCUUGGAACAGGACGUCGCAGAGGGUGAGAAUCCCGUAUGCGGCCGGUGGGCGUCUCCGUGCGAAGCUCCUCCGACGAGUCGAGUUGUUUGGGAAUGCAGCUCUAAAUGGGAGGUAAAUUUCUUCUAAAGCUAAAUACCGGCCAGAGACCGAUAGCGCACAAGUAGAGUGAUCGAAAGAUGAAAAGCACUUUGGAAAGAGAGUUAAAAAGUACGUGAAAUUGUUGAAAGGGAAGCGCUUGCAACCAGACUCGGCCGCUUCGGUUCAACCCUACCCGUGUAGGGCUUACUCCGUUGCGGUCGGGCCAGCAUCGGUUUGGGCGGUCGUUUAAAGGCGUUGGGAAUGUAGCUCCUCUCGGGGAGUGUUAUAGCCCUUCGUGCAAUGCGGCCUGCCUGGACCGAGGACCGCGCUUCGGCAAGAUGCGGCAAUGGUUGUAAGCGGCCCGUCUUGAAACACGGACCAAGGAGUCUAACAUCUAUGCGAACGUUUGGGUGUCAACCCCCUACGCGCAAUGAAAGUGAACGGAGGUCGGAGCCCUCGGGCGCACGAUCGACCGAUCCUGAUGUCUUCGGAUGGAUUUGAGUAAGAGCAUAAAUGUUGGGACCCGAAAGAUGUGCGAACUAUGCUUGAGUAGGCCGAAGCCAGCGGAAACGCUGGUGGAGGGUCGCAGCGGUUCUGACGUGCAAAUCGAUCGUCAAACUUGAGUAUAGGGGCGAAAGACUAAUCGAGCCAUCUAGUAGCUGGUUCCUGCCGAAGUUUCCCUUAGGAUAGCAGUAACGUUUUCAGUUUUAUGAGGUAAAGCGAAUGAUUAGAGGCCUGGGGGUUGAAACAACCUUCACCUAUUCUCAAACUUUAAAUAUGUAAGAAGCCCUUGUUGCUUAGUGAACGUGGGCACUCGAAUGUACCUUACUAGUGGGCCAUUUUUGGUACGAAAA
This 1050-nucleotide ribosomal RNA is filed under the name Jahnula bipileata. RNAcentral's name for it is "eukaryotic LSU rRNA". It matches the Rfam family "Eukaryotic large subunit ribosomal RNA", at positions 71 to 1149 of the family's 3401-position model. The record is from RNAcentral. Lineage: Eukaryota; Fungi; Ascomycota; Dothideomycetes; Jahnulales; Aliquandostipitaceae.